RNA transcript from Mus musculus (house mouse), 11336 nucleotides. It is a transcript of the gene named autophagy related 4C, cysteine peptidase, with no coding region annotated. The record is from RefSeq and is marked validated. Lineage: Eukaryota; Metazoa; Chordata; Mammalia; Rodentia; Muridae. The transcript has 14 exons.
CUAAACCCCUUUUAUUUAUGGAUUUGUUUCUUUCUUUUUUUUUUUCUUUUCAGUUUAAUUACAUUAUUCUAAAAUAACCAAACCAUCUUUUCAUAAAUCUUUUGCCCUUUUUGUUCCUUCUUUACUUCUUUCAACCCUGAUUUUUUUUUUAAAUUACUUUUCCCUAAUUUUGUGUCUGGCUUAUUCUCAUGGUUCUAGAGCCAUGAGGUUGUUUAUUUAUUUGGGACUUCCCUGACACUGUUGUUUGUUUCGGGACAGCGUCUGUCUCCCUGUGGAACCAAGGCAGCCUGUCACUCAUGGUCCUUCUGCUUCAACUGCCAAGUGCUGGCACUGCAGGUGGUACCCCAUGCCUGGUUCAUGAUUGCAAAUAUAGGCAUAGCCAUCAAACUUCUUAGAACUGCCUUAUCCGUAUCCCAAAGGUUUUACCAAAUGAUCUUUUCCUUCUCCCUUGACUCUAAGAAUUUCUCAUUGCUUUCAGUGAUUUGUCCAGUGACCCACCAAGCAUUCAGAAGCGAUUUGUUCAAUCUCCAUGUGUUUGCAUGAUUUCUAGUUUAAUGCAGAUAUAAUCUGAUAAAUACAAGAAACUGAUUGAUUUUUGAAUAUUUGCUAAGGCUUAAAAUGUGAUUUAUUUCAUAUCUGCUGGGAAAAAUGUGUAUUUUGCAGACGUUGGAGUAUUUUUUGUGUUUGCGUUCUCGAAUGUAUUCAUAUGGGUGUGUAUGCAUGGGUAUGCAUGCGUGUGGAAGCCAGAGGUUAACUUUUUAACACCUUAUUUAUUUAUUUAUUUAUUUAUUUAGAGGCCAAAAGCUCUCGCUGAGCUCAUUAAUUCAGCAAGGGUUGCUGGCCUGUGUGCUCCUGGGAGCUACCCAUCUUCCCCUCACUGCUCCAGCACAGGAGUAGACAUGCACUGCCAUUUUGGCUUUUAUGUGUAUGCUGGGGACUGAAUUCAGGUCUCCAUGAUUGCAUGGUGGGUACUUUACCAAUUGAGCAAUCCUAGCUCCAGUAAAUUGUUCCUUUAUGGUUAUCAAAUGUGGCAUUUUGAUUAAUAAAAUAUUCUGGUUAGAAUCAUUAUUUUAUUAUAUACCUUGGAUUACUAACGAGAAGAAAGCCGUGAACAUUAGAAAUGACCUAUAUUAGCCAGGUGUGGUGGCACACACCUUUCAUCCAAGCAUUUAGGAGGCAGAGACAGGUAGAUUUCUGUGAGUAUCAGAUCAACCAGGGCUACACAAUAAGAUCCUGCCUCAAACAAAUAACAAACAAACCAAAGGAACAACAUUUCUCAAAACUAACGCUAAGUUAAAGUUGGACCUGGUAACAUAGGCCUGUAAUCUGAUACUCGGGGUGGCUGAGGCAGGCAGAUGGCAAGCAGCUAGCCUGCCAGGGCUACAGAGUAAGUUCAAGGCCUGAGGAACCCACAAGACCUAUAUAAUAAGUAAUUAAAAAACAAGUAGGUGUCUAGGUAUAUAGCUCAAAUGAAAUGAAUUCCAAGUACAUUAAAAGCACUUGGGAUUUAGAGGCAGGAGGAUCAGGAGUGCAAGGUCAUUCUCUGCUACUCUAUGAGUUGGACACUGUGGUGGUUUGAAUAUGCUUGGCCCAUGGGAAGCACUGAAUCUCAGCCCAGUGCAGAAGAGACCUGUAGCAUCUAGUUUUAAAAAACCAAGAUAACUUCAGCUAGGGGCCAACCACAUCGCUUUCAGCCAUUUCAUGGCUAGCCCUAAGCAGUCAUCUGGCCCGGAUUCCUGCAGCUGGCUUGCUAAGCUGACCAAAACCAGUUUUUCCUGAAAAUGCCUAGAGCUAGCUGGUUGUGUUCCUCAGGCCAACCCCCUGGAUGGCCUGCGGAAGCCAACAACACUCCGUCCCACUCAGCUCCCUCUAGCCCCAUAGAAGGAAAACACUAGAGACUUAUAUUUAUAUCAGCCAGAUUUAUAUCAGUAAAUCUCCAAGCCUAAUAUGCCCAUGCAAAGUACACACAACGUAAUAUGAAUACAAGUUGCAUGCCUAGAUUGGACAAAUGUACCCUACACUACACUUUUGUCCAGCUAUGAAAUCCCUAGCUACUUUCAGCUCCUCCCGGCCAUAUGGGUCUGCUCCAUCUUCAACCUCUUCUUCCUCCUCCUUCUUCCUCCGUCCUCAGUCUCAUCCUCUCUUCUUCCUCCUUCUCUCCCUUCUCUAAAACUUUUAGCUCUGCUUUUUCCUUCCACUGCCCAACCAGAGGCUCUAGUUUUUAUUUGACCAAUUAAGAUUUCACCUGGAAUUACCUCAGUAUGUAAUCUACUCCUCUUGAGGGAGUAGAAAAUACAAAGAGCAAUCCACAACAGAGACCCUCCUCCUGGCUGCUUGCAGAAGAAGAGUCCUCUUCUGUCUGCCUUCAGAUCAAGAUGCAGAAUUCUCAGCUCCUUCUCCAGUAGCACCAUGUCUGCAGGUAUGCUGCUAUGCUGCUGGCCAUGAUGAUAAUGGUCUGAACCUCUGAGAUUGUAAGCCAGCCCUAACUAAAUCUUUCAUAAGAGUUGCCUUGGUCAUACUGCCCCUUCAAUGAAAUACUCAGGCAGAGAUUAUCCUGUGCUACAAGAAACCCUGUCCCUAAACAAAACAACACUAAAACCUGCACAUUAACAAGAGUUAACAGUAUUAAUGAGAAGGAUGCUGUGGAGCCUCUCGCAUGGUUGUGCACACAAAGAAACUCUUGAGAAUUUUUUGGUUUGUACAAAAUACAGUGUUUAGGACCUGAGGGACAGAAAGGUUCAAAAGGCAGUUCUUGCCUUUUAGAAGGUAGAUCAGCUAAUAAAGGGUUACAAUUUAACAAAUGUUUGAUUGCGCAGUCAAGUUUAUAUACACUUUUUUUAACUUUGUAAAAGCGGAAGCUCUCUUCUCUGCCCUUUCCCCUUGACAUUUCUCCUAAUUAUCUCCUAAUUAUCAACUCUACCCCUGCUCCAGGAACAGCUAAUAAGUGCUUUGUCCCUAAUCUGUUGAAAUGAGCAGUCUGUCCAGUUUUGACUCUUAUGUAUAUGGCAAGUGGCUGAAGUAGACAAAGACACAUUUACAGGCAAGACUACUGCUGGGAGCUGCAGCUCUAAGAAUCUCUAAAAAGCAGUCUGUUACAUAAAUUAUGUACUUUUAAACCCCUCUUCCUUUACACAAUUGAACAUUAAAACUGCUUUAGAACCAUGUCUACCAGAAAUGAAGCAUAUUUCAAAAGCUUCCUUAAUAUCACUGUAACUUAGUGUUUAUUUACCACAAACACCAGUGAAUCCCAUUCCCCCUAACUAUAGUUCAUCAGCAUUCCCACCCAGUCACUACUGGAAAUGUUCUCUCCCACUGCAAUUCCAGUUUGGUGCAUGAGUAUGAAAAGCAGCAGACUCUUUUCCAUGAUCAUAGAUUUUAAAUAUUUACUUGCUUGUACUGCAUAAUUUAGCACACUGGAGUCGGAAAGGGGUUUAUAUGGUAGUGGAUUCCUUGCCAGUGUUAGAGAAUAGAAAGUCCCUCUGUGACUCCCUUGUGAGACUGUAAAAAUGUAAGGCAUUACCGUUUCCUUUUCUAACCAAUUAAAAAGUUUGUUUUACCAUAAAUCUGCAGAAAGCCUCUGCUUGUGGUAUACAUAUAAUAUACCAUACUUUUCUAUAGUUAGCAUAUAAAUCCAAGCCUCGGUUCUCAUGGUUUGUUAAUAUAGUAUGACAAAAAAUUAAAAUACAGCCAUUCUGGUAGCACAUGUGUGAUGGUAAAUCUCGGUGGUCAGUUUGACUACAUCUAGAAUUAAUUCAGACCAAAGCUGCUGGGUACUGUAGUGAGGAGUUUUCUUAAUCAGAUUAUUUGAAGAAGAAAGACCCACUCUAAAUUUAGACCACAUUUUUUUGGUAGCAGUCCAAAUAAAAAAAAGGAAGGAAACUGUUCUACAUCCAUUUGCCCCACCUUUGCUGGCAAGUUUAUUUGUCCAGUUGCUGCCAGUACUAAAUCCAAUUUCUUUGGAAUUGAAAUGAAGACAGUGCUCCAGGAAUCUUCCAGGAUCCAAGUGCCAGAAUGGGAUUUCUGAGACCUGUAGCCUCAUGGACCAAUUACCAGAGUCUUGGCCUUUUCAGUGUGAGACAGCCAUUGUUGAACUACCUGGACCACAUCCUGUAAGCAAGUCUAAUAUACACUCCUCUUAUCAGUUCUGCUUCUUAGAGAACCCUCAUACAAGUCCUUAUAGAAGUUAUGAGAAGGACAGCUUGUGAGAUCUGUGCUAUCUCCUCUCCAAGUCAUCAGAAAGUGUUCUGCAUUUCAAAAUAUGAAACAAACUAUCCAAGCAGACAAAGGAGCAGAUACCUUGUUAUCUAUGCUAAUAAAUGACCCUCUUGUUGUCUUGUUAUACCCCUGUCCGGCCCAUGUGACUGGUGAAUAAAUUGCUCUAGUAAUUAAUUCUAGGCAACUGUUUUCAUGAGACUAACAUGAAAUAACUUUCCCAGCGUCCUAGCACAGAUCUCUUAUUCCAACACUAGGGGAUUGAGAGAAGAUAAUGAGUUCUGGGUCAGUCUGGCUGUAUUGCAAGUCCCUAUCUUCAAAUAAAACGCCACUCAAUUCUAAUCGUGAAACAGUUAAAAUUCAAAGAACAUAUUUUGUAUUCCAGAAGGCGUUCAUUCUCUCGAUGUUUAACUGUUUAACUGUCUGGUAGCAGAGAUUGUUGAUUUUUUUCCCCCUUGUAGUUUCUGCUCUUAUUUCUUAUGUAUUGCUCCAACAGUCUGCGUUACUGAAAACAAUAUAUUAGUAGAAUUACAUGUUGACAUCAUUUAGUAUAUCUCUCCCGAUUUUUUUUUUAAAGGCAGGUCCUGUACUGUAAUUCUUAACAUGAAUCUGAAUGUGAAAACUGAAUGCUCCACCAGGAUGUAAUCAAUACCCCAUACCACAGCUUGCCUUGGAGUAGACAGACUGUUAGUCUUUUAAUCCAAGUGGGCUUGGUUUUAAGGACCCAGAGCUCUGUGCAUGCUGGAUCUUGUAGUCCCGAAACCGCAGACGCUCACCGUGCGUGGCGGGUAGUAGCUGAAGUCCAGUAGUUACAGUUACGAGGGACAGCUGUAAAUCUAACUUGGGCCUGCCCCUCACAAAUGAACUGCUCUAGGCUCUGAGCUUGCAGCCCGGGAGCUUAGGGUCUCCGACAGGGCUUCCUGCAGGACCGCGGCCUGCGGAGGCUUCGGUGUGCUGUGCUACGGUGGCCGCGCGGGGCCGCGGGCCGCACGUCCUGCGGUGCGUACGCGCUGUUCGGAGCGGCUGCUGGAGCCGACGCGCGUCUGGUGUGGGGACUCCUGCGCGGCUGUACAGUUAUCCAGUCCCGUGUCGCCGAGGGGUCGGCUCGAGGCUGGCGGAGUGGAGAAGGUUGGAGCUUGGUGUUUGUAGUCUACGAAUGGCCGGUUCUGGGGGCGGCCCUGCCCUUGGUGCAGACCCGUGGCCAACCGUCUGGGUUCCUGGAGGGUUUUGGAGCCUCUCUCGAUUCUGCUUCCUCCUGAGGGUUAUCUUCUGACGACUCCUCCUCGCCCUUUGAACUUAUAUUGGAUUUUCUAAAAGAAUGGAAUCAAGUGAUGGCUUUUUCUCCAGAAUUUGAAUAUGGAGGCUUCAGGAACAGAUGAAGUUGACAAGCUAAAAACUAAAUUUAUAUCUGCUUGGAACAAUAUGAAAUAUAGUUGGGUGUUGAAAACAAAGACAUAUUUUAGUAGAAAUUCACCUGUUUUAUUGCUUGGAAAAUGUUAUCAUUUUAAAUAUGAAGAUGAAAGCAAGAUGUUGCCUGCAAGAUCAGGAUGUGCCAUUGAAGAUCAUGUAAUUGCAGGGAAUGUGGAAGAGUUCCGUAAGGAUUUCAUUUCUAGAAUAUGGCUGACCUACAGGGAAGAAUUUCCUCAAAUCGAAGCUUCAGCCUUGACGACAGACUGUGGCUGGGGCUGCACGCUGCGGACCGGCCAGAUGCUGCUGGCUCAGGGACUCAUACUCCAUUUUCUCGGUAGAGCUUGGACCUGGCCUGAUGCGCUGCACAUUGAGAACGCAGACUCUGACUCAUGGACUUCCAACACUGUCAAAAAGUUUACUGCAUCGUUUGAAGCUUCACUUUCGGGGGACAGAGAACUCAGAACUCCAGCAGUUUCUCUGAAGGAAACAUCUGGGAAGUGUCCCGAUGACCACGCAGUGCGGAAUGAGGCUUAUCACAGGAAGAUCAUCUCUUGGUUUGGAGAUUCCCCCGUGGCCGUCUUUGGCUUACAUCGUCUGAUAGAGUUUGGGAAGAAGUCUGGGAAAAAAGCUGGCGAUUGGUAUGGACCAGCGGUGGUUGCUCACAUUUUAAGAAAAGCAGUUGAAGAAGCAAGGCAUCCGGAUUUGCAAGGGCUAACUAUUUAUGUUGCCCAGGACUGUACAGUUUACAAUUCUGACGUGAUUGAUAAGCAGACUGACUCCGUGACAGCUGGAGAUGCACGUGACAAGGCUGUCAUUAUUUUAGUUCCUGUUAGACUCGGUGGAGAAAGGACCAAUACCGACUAUCUGGAGUUUGUGAAGGGUGUUUUAAGCCUUGAAUACUGUGUAGGUAUCAUUGGCGGCAAACCUAAACAGUCAUAUUACUUUGCUGGAUUUCAAGAUGACAGUUUGAUUUACAUGGAUCCUCAUUACUGCCAGUCUUUUGUAGAUGUCAGCAUAAAGGAUUUCCCUCUCGAGACAUUCCACUGUCCAUCUCCUAAAAAGAUGUCAUUUCGAAAAAUGGAUCCUAGUUGUACGAUAGGAUUUUACUGUCGAAAUGUCCAGGACUUUGAACGAGCGUCUGAAGAAAUCACUAAGGCAGGAUGUACUUCUGAACUGCACGACCCUGCCAGGCAUACCCUUGCUGUACUGUGUGGUCUGUGCUGAUACCCAUCUUCCUGGACCUCUCUCUCUCGAAAGUGGUCUGUAUUGGCCGUGGAGGCUUGCUGGGAAUCCUAAGUGAGACUUUGCUCUUCGCGUCAACCUCCCGGAGUCUCUGUGUGUAGACUAAGCGCAGUGACCGUUUCUUAGUUUUUUUUUUUGUUUGUUUGUUUUUUUUGUUUUUCACUUGGUCCACCGGAGCUGCGCUGCUUCAUCCCUGCUCUGUCUACACUCCCCGGCUUGAGCUACCCUGAUUCUUGCCUUUCCUCCACAGGCACACUUUCUCUUCUACUCUGUAAACAUGAGAUGCUCUGGAUUUCUUGUUUAGGUUUUUGUGUUAUCCUCCGUGAUGAUUUCAUCCAGGCCUGCAGCUGUGAAGAUCUUCUUUCCAGUAGCCACUCCCAAGUUCAUAGGCCAGUGCAGGCCAGGGCUCUCUCUCCAGAACUGAAUGGUUUCUCAGGACAGAGCCCAGCUUAAGAGAAUCUUGGACAUCAUUUAGUUCAAGCUCCCGCUAACAUCAACCAUCUCUGAAGCUUCUUGAAUAGAGGAUCAGCCCCAGCUGAAAUCCACCUUCAGUCAUGGAGAACUGGAUACCUGGCCCACCCUCACCCAGGAGGUGCUCUGCUGUGCAGGGACUGAGGGCUGCACUCGUGAUGAGCCCAGGGACGCCUGUGCCAAGCCUCUGAUAUAUAGUGCGGGGACUGCAGGGCAUCCGAGUUGUAACAAGAACAAGAUGAGCUUGUGGCCUCGGGCUCCUAACCUGCUCCUCAACCCACACUUCAAAGAAAGUUAUUACACAAGAGUUAGACUAAAUCAAACCAAACUGCAAUGUUUGCGCACUGUGGUCCAUUUUCAGAUCUCUCUGUAUCUCACCACAAGUCCCUCAGAAACCCAGUCAGGAACAAAACAAAACGACCCAAUGAUAAUUUAGUUGUAAGUCUUUAAAAAAUGAGCCCGACUGAUUUAUUUUGAAAUUUCAGUUAAGCACAAUGUCAAGAAAAUCUCUGUGGCUAUUUGUCAUUUUUCUCCCCUUGCAUAAGUCCAAGCAGGCAGAAUAAAAUUAGGAACUGGCUGCUUAUAGGCUCCCCAGGUCUUGAUGUAGGCUUGAUUUCACUACUGGAAUAUCAGAGAUGCUUUGGUGAUGAUCCUCUGUCAGAAUGCUCGUCACAGCAAGGAAGACCUUUAUUAUGCCAUCGGCUCAUUUUAUUAGCCUUGUUAUACAGCUACACAAAGGAGCACAAUAGAUCAUCUAAAAGAUAAAUAUUUCACUUUGGCUAGACCUACAACUCUCAUUUUUUCCCCCUUACCCACAACCUGAAAAGCAUGAAAAGUUAGGUUUUCCUUUUGUAGCUUUGAAUAGAGGCAGGUUCAGGUUUUUGCACUGCAAAAGCAAUAAAGCUUAUAUUCAUUGCUACCUACUAGUAUGUUUUAAAUUUUUUUAUAUUUAUGUGUGUGUGCAUGCAUAUGUGUGUGAAUGCAAAUGGAAUAGCACGUUGUUUCCUUCUAUCAUGUGAGCCCUGUGAAUGGAACCCAGGUUACCAGACUUGGUGACAACAAUAGUUAUCCACAGAGCCACCUCCUCUUUGGCCCCUGUUAAGUAUAUUAAGUAUGGACAAUUUUGUGUGGUAGAUGCAACGUCCCAUACUCUAAUAAUUGAACCAUUAAAACCCAUCCCAGGCCAAUCCUCAUGGAUCUCUUGUGUUUCAGAAAAAUAUUCUUGUUUCAACCAUGAGUCAUUAUGGUCUCAUGAUCACCUAGAGUCAGUUCUGGGAGAGACCACCAAGCUAUGUGAAGAAGGAUGCUGGGACUGAGGGCAAGUGGUGUUUACCUCACAUCUUCUGGUGGAACUGCUGCCUCUACCUACCUUCUGACUGUAGGAGGUUUAUCGAGUGGCUGUCCCUGUGGCCUCCACAGCCUCAGCAAGGGAUACUCAGAGCAUCCUAGCCAUCACGCUUAGGGAGGCCUCAGUCUAUGCCAGGGGUUUAAUGGAUAGUAAUAUCAAAUUGUUUGUGUAUGUAUACACAUUUAGGUGUAUGUUGGAGGAUAGACUGUGUCUAGAUCUGCAGAGAGGAAAGGGAAAGCAAACCAGAUUGGGUAGAGAAAUAAGGGUGGAUUUGAACCUACGCUGCACUCAGUAGAACAUCUGCCGUAUGUUAGGUACUUUAUACUGUGCUUGAUCUCACGGACUCUUCAGAGCAAGCUAAAGACACGGAGCCCGUGAAGCUUCACGUCACGGGUGGAAGCAUUCAGAGGCCAAGCGCCUUGUACAGAGUUAAGAAAUUAAAGUCCAUGUCCCGGCCUCAAAACUGUUGCUCUCCCUUGCUAUCUAGUAGCUGCAGCACAAAUUGUAGCAUUAGAGGAGCGAGCAUAACACAGAACACACAGAGAACAGAGGGACUGAAAUGAACAGAGAGCAGGUCUUGUAGUAAUAGUAAGGCUGGCGCCUACUGGGCUUUUGGAGGGGCUACCAUAUAUGAGCCACAGUGCCAGAGUCUAUUGCACGUAAUAGUGACAUGGUCCUAUGCCUGGGAACCACUGUUAUAGUGAGUUUGCUAAGUGUGUGUGUGUGUGUGGGGGCCUGAAAGUCUAAGUAAUCUGUCUAGCCCCCACAGACAGUGGGGGAGCUGAACUGGCAUGAGUUGAAAAUCAGAUUUUACCUGUUGGACUACAAAGACUGCACUCAAGUCACACUAGAACAUCAGAGUACAAAUAAGCCAAAAGGACUUUAUUUCCAAGGUCUGCAGUCUGAAGAGGACAGAUUCACGGACAAUAACUAAAAUGUGUUUGCGAUGGAGGCAAGUGCAGAAAAGGUAGUACCAAAGAGAGUGACUGCCUAACUGAGACUGGGAACAGAAUGUCGGUGACAUCUGGGGACAAUGUCCCAAGGAAAAUAGUGUUUCAAUUAAACGUUAAUCAACCUUUUUUUUUUUUUCUUCAGAACUGGGAAUCAAGCCUUAAUUUGCACAUGCCAGGCAAGUGCUUGGCAGCUGAGCUACACCCCACAGACCUUGUUUUUCUGUUUUUGUUUUGUUUGUUUGUUUGUUUGUUGUUUGUUUGUUUUUGAGACAGGUUCUCACUGGUAGUCCAAGACUACCUUGAAUUUAAUAUGUGUCACUGACGGGCCUGGAGUUUGUGAUCAAAAGCCUCAGCCUCCUGAGUGCUAGAAUUACAGCGGGAACGCUCCAGGAACACCUUCCCCUCCUGCCGCUGCUGAUUUCAGCACUGCUGCAGGACCCAGGUAUUUUCCAGAGCGGCCUGGGGCUUUGCCAGUGGAAAAGCUUGUCAUCGGAUGGUGCUCCCUUCCCGACCCUGGUGCUCCAGCCUCCAGUUCUGGGAGGUGGUGGGGUGAUGGAGUCAAGACAAGGGUGGAAGGCCAGGAAGAGAUCAGCUAUGCACAGACAAUUACAAUGGGCUCAAAACCCCAGAACAUUUACCUUUUCCAACCGAAUGACUCUAUAAAAUGGACACCUGCCAUGUUCCUAAGCAUGAAUCACUGUACUUAGAGGCACACACAAGUGCAGCGCAGUCACGCCUAGUUGCUCACCGAUGUAUCAGAUCCAAUGCUCAGGGUUCAGUGCCUGAGCCAAAUGUUAAAGUUAUUUGUUCUUGUCAAUAAACUAAACUUUACGGUGACCCUCUAUUUUUAUUAUGCCACAUGUAUUUUAAGAGAGGUGGCCGCUGCUUGAGCUGGCAGCCGGGGCUCUAGCGAGGCCCGACAAAUGCCAAGGAAGCGCAUCCCUGGGGACCCGCUGUCAGCACGCAAGGCUGGCUAGGCCUGUGACGGUUUUCUCCUGGUUCUAGGGAGGCUACCUUCUCUAUGACACUGCACCACCACAGGGCAGUCUUUUGGGGUCUGGGGCCUCAAGUGCAGUGUUGCCUGGUCCUCAGCCUGGCUACAGAGAUGAUGUUUGGAAAUAAAAUGAAAUGUGAAAAAAAGAAAAGAAAAAAAAGAAAAGAAGAAGAAGAAAAAAAACAACCUGCAAAACAACAAAUGAAGCAAAGCAAAGCCUAACCCCUAAACACACAGCCAGGUGCCACAGAGCGCAAGCGAAACACUCUGCGCCAAGCAGCCAGUGCGUACCAGUGAAUUUCCGGUUCAUCUCCCUGAGGCACGGAAGUAACCACACAGUCCUGGCUGCAGAGCUGCAAGGGGCAGGGGCCAUGCUCGUGAGCCCGAGGCCGGGCCUGUUGUCUUGACGUUUGGAGAAGUCUCCCUUAAAGAGAUGCUGGGGCUCCAGAUGUGUGAGAAUCUGGGUGGUCUUGAGAGACUCCACCCCCACCCCCAACGCAGCCACGCUGCAGCAGCUGGAUGGAUGGAGCAGGUGCAUAGGAACAGAGGUUUCAUAUCCCCAGUCAGUGGAGCUGUGUGGAAAAGGGACUUUCUGCUCCACAAGUAGAUGAAAAAUCACAGCCAUCUCCACCCUCCCCCCCAAAGCUCUUUUUUAAUAUUUAAAUUUUGGAAUUUAACCAACACAGUAAAAUAUAUAACUUUGGAA